This 253-nucleotide ribosomal RNA is filed under the name uncultured bacterium. RNAcentral describes it as "partial 16S ribosomal RNA". It matches the Rfam family "Bacterial small subunit ribosomal RNA", at positions 524 to 776 of the family's 1533-position model. The record is from RNAcentral.
UACGAAGGGGGCUAGCGUUGCUCGGAAUCACUGGGCGUAAAGCGCACGUAGGCGGAUUGCUAAGUCAGGGGUGAAAUCCUGGAGCUCAACUCCAGAACUGCCUUUGAUACUGGCGACCUUGAGUCCGGGAGAGGUGAGUGGAACUGCGAGUGUAGAGGUGAAAUUCGUAGAUAUUCGCAAGAACACCAGUGGCGAGGGCGGCUCACUGGCCCGGUACUGACGCUGAGGUGCGAAAGCGUGGGGAGCAAACAGG